CUUACACACGUGCCUCCCCGGAGUCCAUGCUCCUUUCUCUUUUCCUCGCCAGGAGGACGGGAGAGCGUAGGGAGAGCUCAGCCUCGUGUGGCCAAUACCUGCGCUCCCUGCCAGGCAGCGGCUCACGCCAAUGGGCUGCCUCCUGCCCAGGCCCUGCCCCAGCCUGGGCUCAGCUCCGCUGUGUCUCCAGCAGAGAAGCCGGACAGCUGCACCUACGCAGAUCUGACCUUCCCCAGCGCGGGGGCCGGCAGGAGAGGUCCCCAGCCCGCAGCCCAGAGCCCCCCAGCGCCAGCAGAAGGUCUCUCUGCAGAGGUCACCUAUUCUGAGCUGACGCCAUACAGGGGACCCAGGUGAGCUGUCCAUCCCGGCACCCUCCCUGCCCCGUUCCCUCUGGAGUCACCGCACAAGGCCCUGGAGCCCGGAGCAACCCACCUCAGCGAAGUGACACUCAGCAGCCUUUCCUGGGGCUGUGAGCACAGCUACCCUCCCUCCCUGACAUGUUCUUCUGUACCAGACACAGGCCAGCUACAGCGCUUGCUUCUGCACCAGCUGUGUUCAGCAUCAGGUCCUUUGCUCUGCCAGGGAUCGCUGAG
Molecule: long non-coding RNA, 593 nt
Filed under: Chrysemys picta bellii (western painted turtle)
Lineage: Eukaryota; Metazoa; Chordata; Testudines; Emydidae
Description: lncRNA (ENSCPBG00000003912.1)
Source: RNAcentral